Molecule: long non-coding RNA, 1410 nt
Organism: Elaeis guineensis (African oil palm)
Lineage: Eukaryota; Viridiplantae; Streptophyta; Magnoliopsida; Arecales; Arecaceae
Source: RefSeq, a predicted model, not a curated record
UUCUUCGAAUCCAUUCACAUAAUCACCCGCGAGUGAGCAUACCGCUCCCCAAGAAAUCGAAAAGAAUCCAGCAGGUGGCGCCCUCCGCCUCUUCGCCUCCCGUCCGGCUGUCCCCGCCAAAUCCCUCGGCGGAGAUUCUUUUGGAACCCUAGCGGUUGACCUCCAGGAGAGAGCCAUGGCUUCUCUGUCUCCACUUCUUGGAAGCGCGGGUUUCGCUUCCGGUCCACUUAUCUGGUCUCCACGAUGGAGAAACCAUGACCUUGGAUUUGAGAUCUCUUACCAUGAGAAUUCCAUCCGCAAGGAGGCGCCGUUGGUCAUGGAGUUCUUUCUAUGAGUUAAAUCGACCCGUCGCAAUGAGGCCAACUUUAACGAUGGGAGAGCUUGGUCCAAGGUAUGAUUAAAACAAAGGACAUCAUGUACUCACCGACAAGGGAGUGGUCUUAUCAUGCUCAAGUGCCAUCACUGGUUUCUUGUUGAAAUUCAUCGAAACAUCCUGCAAUGUUGGUUGGAAAACUUGUAUGGCAGAGCUGCACCAUGCACGCGAAAGGAGAUCCAUUGAUUCUGAAGUUGCUUCGGGGGCCAUUUGGCUCAUGUCUAAAUCCAUGUUGAUGGUGAAAUCAGUGAUGUCUAGGGUGCUAUUUUGGUUGUGAGAUAUGACACAAAUGGCAGUGCUGCAAGUUCUGUGUAGAAAUAUAUACUUGGAUGAAGAGGGUCUACAUGGCACUGAAGGUUGUGUGUUGUCAGGAGUACUUUUCUAGGAACUGGGUUCUCCACUAGACAAAUCAGUUGCACCCCAGGAGAAGGGUGUAAUAAAUUAAUACCCUGUGAAGAGUUGGGCAUGUAUUUGAUAUAAGUAAUUAUUUUUCUGAUGAGAUGUGACAGGCAGGAGGGAUGAUUACCUCCACCCAUGCUUUGAGUAUUCAUAAAGAAGGAUGGAAUCAAUGGGGACCUCAUGGCCUAGAGAAAGCACAACACAAAGCACUAUAUUUUUAUUGGUAGAAUGUCUAGAACAAUUGAGGCACAGCACAUGCCAACCAUGUAACUACUUGUAUAAGAUAUUUAUCAGAAGGGCUUUGCUCGCUUGCCAACGAAGGUUAAAGGUGCUGUUGGAUGCUGUGGAAUUUUCUUGCAUCAUAACCAAACGUGCGGUAGAGCCUCUAUGGAGGAAUGGAGAGGCAUCUUGUAUCAUUGAAGCCAACAGUUCUUUAAAAGUAGGAUAUUGAGAUGCCGGCAGGUUGCAGACUUUCUAAGGCCUUAUGAGUGCUAGGUCGGGGCCGGCCUAUGCCAAGACUUUAAUCAUAGCUUCUCUAAUGGGAAGGUUCGAGAAUUCCCCACCUUUUGUUUAUGUGAUCAAAAUUUAUUAGGAGUUGGUAAGGGAAAUUUCACUUUGAUUGGUUGCAACUGGCCUUA